ACACACACACACACACACUCACAGAUGCACACAUGCACACAUACACACAUACGCACACACACAAAAACACAGAUACACAGAUACCAAGAUACACUCACACACCAACACAUCCAUGUCCACCCACACACACAACCACACAGACACCCAGACACACACUCACACACACCCAAGCACACACACACACCCAAGCACACACACACACACACACACACACACACACACACACACAACCACACAGACCCAAGAACAGGCGCAGUGGAUGCCCCUGAACACUUCUGGCAACCCACCACCAGCCAAUCACAGAAGGGGAGAUGUCAGCCAUGACAAUCAGAGCCAAUCACAGAGGAGGAGAUGUCAGCGACGACAAUCAGAGCCAAUCACAAUCAGAGCCAAUCCCAGAAAAUGAGAUGUCAACAAUAACAAUCAGAGUCAAUCCCAGAAAAUGAGAUGUCAACAAUAACAAUCAGAGCCAAUCACAGAGAAGGAGAUGUCAGCGAUGACAAUCAGAGCCAAUCACAGAGAAGGAGAUGUCAGCGAGGACAAUCAGAGCCAAUCACAGAGAAGGAGAUGUCAGCGAUGACAAUCAGAGCCAAUCACAGAGAAGGAGAUGUCAGCAAUGACAAUCAGGGCCAAUGAUCAGGCAAGAAACAACAGUGCAACGGUGACAGCUUGACCCUCCAGUGAAGAUGAGAUCUUUUCUUUGUCUCUGUACCUGCAGGAGAGGAGGCCUUAAAAGUAUUCUGCUAUCACCUCACGAACUACUGCACAAACACAGCACACACACACACACAGCCCACACAACUACCGAACAGACAAACACAGCACACACCUAGAAAACAGCAGUGUCUUACAAUCAUUGCAAUUCGUUGCAAUCAACCAAUGACACAGUAAACAAUAACAACUCAACGGCGUGACAGAGGAGGGGAUGAGAACACUGACACACACCAUGAUGUCACAACUCAACGGCGUGACAGAGGAGGGGAUGAGAACACUGACACAAGCCAUGAUGUCACAACUCAACGGCGUGACAGAGGAGGGGAUGAGAACACUGACACAAGCCAUGAUGUCACAAAGACUGCCUAAAAAAAGAAACAAACAGAAACACACGACUCUAAAUAUCUACAGAGGAAUGAAGCUGUUCUCUGUUCCUCGUUCAGGUGGUCUGUCUGGUUCCAAAGUCAGGGCCAAUACAUCUGUUUCUCUGUGUGUGUGUGUGUGUGUGUGUGUAUGUCUGUAUGUAUGUCCGUCUGUCUUUCUGACAGAACAGGUGCUCUUGGCUCCAGACUUCCCUCAUUGAGCUCAAAAGCACUGUAGUGUGUGUGUGUGUGUGUGUGUGUGUGUGUGUGUGUGCAUGUGUGUGUGUGUGUGUGUGUGUGUGUGUGUGUCUGUCUGUCUGUCUGACUUCUCUCAGUGAUCUCAAAAGCACAUUUUUGUGUUUGCCGUCAGUCAGGACUCCCUCUCAGCCAUAGGACAGGUCACAUGUUCCGCUUGUCUGUGUGUGUGUGUGUGUGUGUGUGUGUGUGUGUGUGUGUGUGUGUGUGUGUGUGUGUGUGUGUGUGUGUGUGUGUGUGUGUGUGUGUGUGUGUGAGUGUGUGUAUGUGUGUGUGUGUGUGUGUGUGUGUGUGUCUACCUAAGGUAUGAAUAGGAAUAACACGUUUGCCAAAAGUAGGACUGAAGGAUCGAGGUCAAGAAACAGUCACUGUGCAACAGCUGGAG
Clupea harengus (Atlantic herring) is the source of this 1716-nucleotide long non-coding RNA. The record is from Ensembl. NCBI's taxonomy places the organism in Eukaryota, Metazoa, Chordata, Actinopteri, Clupeiformes, Clupeidae.